RNAcentral lists this long non-coding RNA (1412 nucleotides) under Cucumis sativus (cucumber). Its description in RNAcentral is "long non-coding RNA (CSAT_LNC000619)". Lineage: Eukaryota; Viridiplantae; Streptophyta; Magnoliopsida; Cucurbitales; Cucurbitaceae. The record is from RNAcentral.
GUUGAUAAGCCUCCAAGUUACUUGUUUUCCAUAAGAAGCUUUAUGAUACAGAUGUUUGAACUUGAUCUGUCUUUUAUUUUUUCGCUGAAAGAGAGAUGUAAUUCAUGGUUUUUGUCUCUGAACUAUUAUUUGACCGGAUCUUCUGUGUAGUUGAACUUUAUUUUGUUUUUAGGCAUUUUGUUAUUACUUGUAUACCAGACCAAGUUUUGGUAUCCUCCUUGUUGCAAUGGUUGAUACAUUUACGAGUCUGGUAAAUUGACUUUGUUCAUCGUUGCAGAUAUGUAGAAGAUGCUCAUUGAAGUUUUGAUGAUGCUCAUUGAAGUUUUGAUGAUGCUCAUUGAAGUUUUGAUGAUGCUCAUUGAAGUUUUGAUGAUGCUCAUUGAAGUUUUGGUGAUGCUCAUUGAAGUUUUGAUGAUGCUCAUUGAAGCUUUGAUGAUGCUCAUAUGUGCUUGAUGUGAACAAAACAUUGUUUAUUUAGUUCUUGUUUCAUCCUUUAUCUUAUUCUGGCGUCUAGUAUAAGUCAUCUGCGGUUAAUAGAUCUCUUAUCUAUGGAAAUUUUGUUUUAUUUUAGUACAAUUUUUUAAUUUUGAAGUAUAUUCUGUUUAUAGGCAUUUUGUUAUUACUGGGUUCCUUGCUGAAUUGUAGUUGUUUGCAUUUGUUCUAACCUGAGAAUUUCAUGAUUAACAUGUAUUUUGGAAGCUAGAUAGUUGUUGUCACUGUCAGUCGAUUUAUAUUCCAUAUCUAAAUUGGUUCUGUGAGGAUUAAAUAUUAAACAGUUCCAAGAUUUGAGUUUCGUAGAUGUUCAUUCACUGGCCAAAUGGCAAACUAGAGUAUCUCUUUUUAGACAAAUUAUGAAGCAUUGUUUUUUUUUUGUGAAAAAAAUUGUUCACAAAAAUGGUGUGGUUUUUUUUUUCUACUUGAAUUUUAUAGUUGGGAAGGGUCGUUGGUCUGAGUUAACCAUAAAUGCGUCCCCGGGUACACAAUUAUAAUUGAAGCUUAGUUUUGUCAAGUUAGCAAUUGGUUUUCUGUUGAAUUGUGAUUAAAAGGUGCCUAAGUCUGCCGCUUGGCUCCAUCUAUAUCCCAGACGUAAACUCGGUAUCCUCCUUGUUGCAAUGGUUGAUACAUUACAUGUCUGGUAAAUUGACUUUGUUCAUCGUUGCAGACAUGCUGCAGAUAUGUCGAAGAUGCUCAUUGAAACUUGAUGCUCAUUGAAACUUUGAUGAUGCUCAUUGAAACUUCGAUGAUGCUCAACGUGUACAAAACAUUGUUUAUUUAGAACUAGUUUCAUCCUUGAUCUUAUUCUGCCGUCUAGUAUAAGGCCAUCUGCAGUUAGUAGAUUUCUUCUGUAUGGAAAUUUUGUUUUAUUUUAGUACAAUUUUUUAAUUUUUGAAGUAUAUGUUAUGUCUCUGCAG